GGAGAUGUGGCUCAGUAGUAGAGCACUUUCCUUACAUGCAUGAGGCUCUGGGUUUCAUCUCCA
This 63-nucleotide transfer RNA is filed under the name Ictidomys tridecemlineatus (thirteen-lined ground squirrel). RNAcentral's name for it is "Spermophilus tridecemlineatus (thirteen-lined ground squirrel) tRNA". It matches the Rfam family "tRNA". Rfam says of the family: Transfer RNA (tRNA) molecules are approximately 80 nucleotides in length. Their secondary structure includes four short double-helical elements and three loops (D, anti-codon, and T loops). The record is from Rfam by way of RNAcentral. Lineage: Eukaryota; Metazoa; Chordata; Mammalia; Rodentia; Sciuridae. RNAcentral also lists the same sequence under 1 other name.